This is a long non-coding RNA of Lathyrus oleraceus (garden pea), 719 nucleotides long. RefSeq lists it as uncharacterized. NCBI's taxonomy places the organism in Eukaryota, Viridiplantae, Streptophyta, Magnoliopsida, Fabales, Fabaceae. The record is from RefSeq and is a predicted model, not a curated record. The transcript is spliced from 2 exons.
CCCAAACCGCCACGGAUAAGAGGUGUUGAAAAACGAUGCAAAGAAAAGCACUUCUCCACCAGAAACGCUUCCACAGAAAUGCAACGCGUUUGGCCUCAGCAUCUAUCGCGUCUCGUUGGCGUACAAGACCGUUGUAGUUAUUGCGCCAUGAUUUUCAUCAUCCUUUCAAAUUCCAAAUCCUCACGCGGCGAACCGUACGACGGACAAUGGUCAUCCAAUCGCAUUUCAAAUUCUCCAUCACCAACUCCCUUCAGACGCAGCGAAACGCAAUCUUGAGCCUUCAUCUAAUUCGGAUCGUCAGCUUCCGGCGACCGUGAUUUCAACCACGUAUUCAGAUGCGCCAAACAAUUUCUUGCAGGUGAAAGUAGUCCAAAACAUUGCAUAUUAAAAGGUAAAGCGAGGGUGCGCGAUAUACAUACCGGAAGAGAGUAUCGAUGAUGAUGGUCACUUCAUAGGUCAUUGAUGGCGUGUGGGAUUCCGUACCAUUUGUGAUGCUGUAAUGAGGUUGCACAUGAAUGAUGGAAUUGUUGUGGCUUGAAGAUAUUUGGAAGGCUUUUGAGUUACUCAUGAUAGUUUAGGUUAAUGUGAUUUUGAUUGAGUAAUGGGGAUUUAAUAUUUGUAAUGAAGUGUAAUUGAAAGGAGUAUGGAAUAUGGAUUAUAGAACUUUGAAAGUGUAAUGAAUGUUUUAAUAAAUGGUAUUGAAUAUAUUUAUGUUGAAA